GAUGAACGCUGGCGGCGUGCCUAAUACAUGCAAGUCGAGCGAACGGACGAGAAGCUUGCUUCUCUGAUGUUAGCGGCGGACGGGUGAGUAACACGUGGAUAACCUACCUAUAAGACUGGGAUAACUUCGGGAAACCGGAGCUAAUACCGGAUAAUAUUUUGAACCGCAUGGUUCAAAAGUGAAAGACGGUCUUUCUGUCACUUAUAGAUUGAUCCGCGCUGCAUUAGCUAGUUGGUAAGGUAACGGCUUACCAAGGCAACGAUGCAUAGCCGACCUGAGAGGGGGAUCGGCCACACGGGAAGUGAGACACGGUACAGACAACUACGGGAGGAAGCAGUAGGGAAUCUUCCGCAAUGGGCGAAAGCCUGACGGAGCAACGCCGCGUGAGUGAUGAAGGUCUUCGGAUCGUAAAACUCUGUUAUUAGGGAAGAACAUAUGUGUAAGUAACUGUGCACAUCUUGACGGUACCUAAUCAGAAAGCAACGGCUAACUACGUG
Molecule: ribosomal RNA, 497 nt
Filed under: uncultured bacterium
Lineage: Bacteria
Description: partial 16S ribosomal RNA
Rfam family: Bacterial small subunit ribosomal RNA
Source: RNAcentral